GCUGAAGUAGCUCAGUUGGUAGAGCAACUGAUUCGUAAUCAGUAGGUCGGGGGUUCAAGUCCUCUCUUCAGCACCA
This 76-nucleotide transfer RNA is filed under the name Holosporales bacterium. Its description in RNAcentral is "tRNA-Thr". It matches the Rfam family "tRNA". Rfam says of the family: Transfer RNA (tRNA) molecules are approximately 80 nucleotides in length. Their secondary structure includes four short double-helical elements and three loops (D, anti-codon, and T loops). Lineage: Bacteria; Pseudomonadati; Pseudomonadota; Alphaproteobacteria; Holosporales. The record is from RNAcentral.